GUUCACAUUAAAAACGAGAUUAAAUAUCGAAGUCAAGAAUACCUAGUUUACGAUAGAACUGCGUCAGAAUGGACAACUACAUUUUUAAAUAGCUCAUAAUCUCGAUAACUUCGAAUAAGGCACUAUGAAGUUGCGACCAGUCAUUGCAGAUGAAACGUGCGCUCGACUGAAUUCAUAUCGGAAAAAUUAUUUUCACAAUUCAAUAUACAUACGAGGCCUUCAUUUCUCUAAUGUAAUAGACAAACCUAUAAUAUUGUUAUUUUUUUUUUAAAUUCUUUUAUUACUGUAAAAUAACAUAAAAAAAUCAAAAGUUUUCAGAAAUAAAGUUAAAGUCUAGAAAAAAUAACAUUUAAUGCCUCGAGAACUAACACGGUGGCUUAUUAUACGAUCACUAUGGCAACAUAACGAGUCGUUAAGCUUCCUUAAACAGAACAAAUACAAAACCAUUUCUUCUCUGAAUUGGCUGAAUUAGGUAGCUUUCAUGAAUUAAAUAGCUUCUCGGCUUUGAGUCAAAGCCUGUAAAGUAUAUAAACUGAUAUAUAUUUUUUGUUGAAAUGUCGUUUUAAAUGAAUAAUAUCAGUUGUAACCUUAGACUAGUACUAUGAAACCCAUUUUACCACAAUUUUAUAUUUUUGUGUAAAACAGUUGAUAUUGAUACGAUACUGUCACGCACAUCGUGCAAUUUCAAAAGGUUAAUAGACAUAUUUGACAUACGUGUAAAUAGUUGCAUAUGAUGUCAUGAAAGGGUCAAAGUCUUAAUAUGCUAAGAAGAGACUAGGAUGUAAAAGAAAUUAUUUAGAAUUACUACUGAAUAGUUUUUAAGUGAAGCUGAGUCAAAUAGGUUUGACUUGUACCUUGGAGUUUUAAGUACUUCACAGUGGGACAACCCUCUAGUAUUGGAAUAAUAUAAUAAUGAAAAAGAAUAAAGGUCUGGAAACAUCUUUACCUUUUGUCACAUUGUUAUCUUAAGUGGAAAUAACACGUCAAAAAUCAAAAUGCAUUACUUGCAAUGCGUCAACCUCCUAAACGUUGAAAUAUUUAACAAUG
This is a long non-coding RNA of Daktulosphaira vitifoliae (grape phylloxera), 1047 nucleotides long. RefSeq lists it as uncharacterized. The record is from RefSeq and is a predicted model, not a curated record. The transcript is spliced from 3 exons. NCBI's taxonomy places the organism in Eukaryota, Metazoa, Arthropoda, Insecta, Hemiptera, Phylloxeridae.